UGCCCAAUGAAAUAUUAAAUGGCUGCAGUAUCAUGACUGUACAAAGGUAGCAUAAUCAAUAGUUUCUUAAUUAGAAGCUGGAAUGAAUGAAUUAACGAAAAAUUAUCUGUCUUUAAUAAAUAUUUAAAAUUUUAUUUUUAAGUUAAAAAGCUUAAAUAUCAUUAAAAGACGAGAAGACCCUAUAGAGUUUUAUAUAUUAUUAAUUUUAUUAAUAUAAUUUUUUUAAAAAUAUAUUUUGUUGGGGUGAUAAAAAAAUUUAUUGAACUUUUUUUUUAUUUAAACAUUUUUAUUGAAUUUUUGAUCCAUUAUUAUGAUUAAAAGAUUAAAUUACCUUAGGGAUAACAGCGUAAUAUUUUUUUAAAGUUCUUAUUAAAAAAAAUGAUUGCGACCU
This 391-nucleotide ribosomal RNA is filed under the name Stenus similis. RNAcentral's name for it is "partial 16S ribosomal RNA". Lineage: Eukaryota; Metazoa; Arthropoda; Insecta; Coleoptera; Staphylinidae. The record is from RNAcentral.